CCAAUAGCGUAUAUUAAAGUUGUUGCAGUUAAAAAGCUCGUAGUUGAAUUUCGGGAUCAGUACGCCGGUCGUGCCUUCGGUAUGUACUGGUGUUACUGGUUCCUACCUUCUGACGAACCGUCAUGGCAUUAAUUUGGUGUGGCGGGGAAUCAGUACUGUUACUUUGAAAAAAUAAGAGUGUUUAAAGCAGGCUCGCGCUUGAAUACAUUAGCAUGGAAUAAUGAAAUAGGACGUUCGAUCCUAUUUUGUUGGUUUCUAGGAUUGACGUAAUGAUUAAUAGGGAUAGUUGGGGGCAUUAGUAUUCAAUUGUCAGAGGUGAAAUUCUUGGAUUUAUUGAAGACUAACUACUGCGAAAGCAUUUGCCAAGGAUGUUUUCAUUAAUCAAGAACGAAAGUUAGGGGAUCGAAGACGAUCAGAUACCGUCGUAGUCUUAACCAUAAACUAUGCCGACUAGGGAUCGGAUGAUGUUAUUUUUAAUGACUCAUUCGGCGCCUUACG
This 498-nucleotide ribosomal RNA is filed under the name uncultured Glomeromycotina. RNAcentral describes it as "partial small subunit ribosomal RNA". It matches the Rfam family "Eukaryotic small subunit ribosomal RNA", at positions 591 to 1092 of the family's 1831-position model. The record is from RNAcentral. Lineage: Eukaryota; Fungi; Glomeromycota.